GACAGAUGGGCUUCGAUCCCAUGACUCUGUAGUUAACAGCUACAUGCCCCAACCAACAGGCCUCUGUCUAAGG
RNAcentral lists this transfer RNA (73 nucleotides) under Tangara mexicana. RNAcentral's name for it is "tRNA-Asn". Lineage: Eukaryota; Metazoa; Chordata; Aves; Passeriformes; Thraupidae. The record is from RNAcentral.